UGUAAGGACAUGUAUGACAGCAAAAACAAGCAAUAAUAGAGCAGCUAGCAAAAGAACAUUGAAUUAUUCAAUGUCAGUCAGUCAGAGCCAAGUAGCAAAGCCAUCAACAACAGCCAAACACACACACAGGCGCACACACACACACACACACUGCCGGGCAGCUUGCUUUGCCUCGUCACUCAACCACAAGUCCAGGCGCGUUGGUGGCAAACCUCCUGCAAUUCAAAUAAAACACUCGUCAUAAAGCACAUGCCGUCUGCCAUUCACGCAGCAAACGCGCAUUGUGUGUGCGCUGCUCGCGCUGGUGCUGGUACUGGUACUGAUGCAGAGCGCAGCAUUUGUGUGUGCAUCUUUUAGGCGCUCUCCGCAGUUGUAGCCAAAGAUAUGUGUAAUUACAUGAAGCCAGCCACAUAUGUAUAUGCAUGUAUGAGUGUGUGUGUGUAUGCUUGUUGUUGCAUUUGCUUUAGCUGCCCACAAAGCCGCAAGCUCGCCUGGGCGUUUUGUGUAGUUGAUUGGAGGCGACGGCGCCUAAACAACCGCUGGGCGAGCGCAAGCUACGCUGUGGGGAGCGUUCAAAGGUGAAGUGUAUGCUGACGCUUACCGUUAUGCCUACACACAAACACACGCAAGAAGCAGCAUUAUGCAAAGGAAACACAAAAAUAACAAAAAACAACAAAACUUAGCAUAGCAGCGGACGCAGUGGGCGUCUGUAGCGAAUUGGCGAAAAAACAUUAACUGCAGCGCAAAAAACGUUCACAACAACAACAAAUACAAUGCGACCCAGCGACAGCAGGCGAGAGCGCAACGACAGGGUGCACACAAAGAACUUUGAAAGCACGACGAGAGUCGAUAGCGGAAACUCCUUUUUAUGGCUGCGAACACAAAUAUACAAACUAUGCAUGUGUGUGUGUUUACAACUGUCCAUGUGUGUGUGUGUGUGUGCGUUUGCAUAGUUGUGCAUGUGCUGCAUUGGCAGCCAGCCAAUACAAGUUCAGUGUGGCACCUAAAAACCAAAAAUAUGCAAUGCAGACGCCUAGUUGCACAGCGUGACACACUUAACAGAUGUUAGGGAACGCUCCUCAAUGCUGACCGCUUAAUGUCAUUAAGCUUAAUUAAAGUGGCUGCGAUGGGGUCUAAUGAUUAUAUAUAUGACCGACUUCUGUCAAUAAACAUAUCAAUUGUACUUCUAGUAUUUUUCAAGCAAAUUUCAAUUUUUUUUUAGUCAUGCUUGAACAACUAUUUUAAAAAAGUGUCAAAACGUGACAUAAAACAGACGUC
Molecule: long non-coding RNA, 1278 nt
Organism: Bactrocera neohumeralis
Lineage: Eukaryota; Metazoa; Arthropoda; Insecta; Diptera; Tephritidae
Exons: 2
Source: RefSeq, a predicted model, not a curated record